UUGGAGGGCAAGUCUGGUGCCAGCAGCCGCGGUAAUUCCAGCUCCAAUAGCGUAUAUUAAAGUUGUUGCAGUUAAAAAGCUCGUAAUUGAGUUUCGGGAUCAAUAUACCGGUCGUGCCUCAGGUAUGAACUGGUCUUAUUGGUUUCUCCCUUCUGACGAACCAUGAUGUCAUUAAUUUGAUGUCGUGGAGAAUCAGGACUGUUACUUUGAAAAAAUUAGAGUGUUUAAAGCAGGCUUACGCUUGAAUACAUUAGCAUGGAAUAAUGAAAUAGGACGUUCGAUCCUAUUUUGUUGGUUUCUAGGAUCGACGUAAUGAUUAAUAGGGAUAGUUGGGGGCAUUAGUAUUCAAUUGUCAGAGGUGAAAUUCUUGGAUUUAUUGAAGACUAACUACUGCGAAAGCAUUUGCCAAGGAUGUUUUCAUCAAUCAAGAACGAAAGUUAGGGGAUCGAAGACGAUCAGAUACCGUCGUAGUCUUAACCAUAAACUAUGCCGACUAGGGAUCGGAUGAUGUUAAUUUUAUAAUGACUCAUUCGGCGCCUUACGGGAAAC
This 549-nucleotide ribosomal RNA is filed under the name uncultured Glomeromycotina. RNAcentral's name for it is "SSU rRNA". It matches the Rfam family "Eukaryotic small subunit ribosomal RNA", at positions 548 to 1098 of the family's 1831-position model. Lineage: Eukaryota; Fungi; Glomeromycota. The record is from RNAcentral.